RNAcentral lists this small RNA (532 nucleotides) under Pan troglodytes (chimpanzee). RNAcentral's name for it is "processed transcript". The record is from RNAcentral. Lineage: Eukaryota; Metazoa; Chordata; Mammalia; Primates; Hominidae.
AUUUCCCCCCGACUCCCGCCCCGGUCACCAUCCUACCCUCCUCCCUCCUCCUUUCCCCUUACUCCGCUCCCCUCUUUUCCCUCCCCCUCCUCCCCUUCCCUCUGUUCUCUCCUCCUUUUCCCCUCCCCUCCCCCGUCCGGAGCACUCUAUAUUCAAGCCACCGUUUCCUGCUUCACAAAAUGGCCACCGCACGCGACACCUACGGUCACGUGGCCUGCCGCCCUCUCAGUUUCGGGAAUCUGCCUAGCUCCCACUAAGGGGAGGCUACCCGCGGAAGAGCGAGGGCAGAUUAGACCGGAGAAAUCCCACCACAUCUCCAAGCCCGGGAACUGAGAGAGGAAUUAGAGUGAAGGCCAGUGUUAGGAAAAAAAAAAAACAAAAAAAACGAAAAACGAAAGCUGAGUGCAUAGAGUUGGAAAGGGGAGCUUUGCUGGCCUAGACCUGAACUCUUCAGAUAAUCAGAGUGGAGGAAGUACAGCCAGCAAAGGGCGCUAUAUUCCUCCUCAUUUAAGGAACCGAGAAGCUACUAAAG